UUCACAUCGUUUUUUUUGCCUUCUUUCAAGUCUGUCAGUCAAUCUGUACUCUUUUUUCUUUGACGGCGUUAGUACCUAUAGGGUGUGAGAGCCAGUGGUGGGAUCUUUAAUGCCGUCAAAGAAAAAGAGUACAAAUUGACUAACAAAAUCCAACAAAAAAGCCUUUUGUUUCCUACAAUUGCUCUUAUGCUUAUCUUGGUAGAUCCAUUGAUGCAUAACAAACUAAAAUGUCUUUUGUACUUAGAAUGGAUGGCCUUGUUCAAACUUACCUUAUAUGCUGUAAUGGUUGACAGUUUUUUAUUUGUUUCUUUCUUCACACUUCCGCAGUGCCACAUGUUGAACAGAUUGAUAAUAAUAAUAAUUCCCUAUUGGUUUAACUUACUAUUAUAACUGUCCAUGCCAAGAUAAUGAUUUUCAGAAUUGGGUAUAAACUGUAAAUCUUGUACUAUCUCUUAACAUUGUGGAGUUAUGUUAUUAUAUAUCUUGUUGUAUUUCUAAUCAAACCUGAGAGUUAUAGAUGAUGCAAAGAAUUUAUUGCUUAAGAUAAAUUUAGAAUCUGGAAAGGUGCAUGCUCUUGUAAAUGAGGUGAGGUGUAUUUUCUUGGUGUAGAUCGUGCCAUUUUAUUUUAUUUUUUUGGAUAAGGUUAGGUUUUAUUUUUAUUUAAAAAAAAAAAAAAAAAACUAUCAAGAUGAUACUGAACGUACAUAGAAAGAGCAGGCUAGAGUACAUUAGAAACCUAAGCAGUCUAGCAUGUCAUCUAAAUUCUUUCCAAUUGUACAGGUUGCGCAAACAAGUAUAUUUCACAGACUGCAACUGCUUCUUUUUGUCUUCAAACUUUCUUUCCAUUUAGUCCAAGCUAUGCUAAGAGGAAUGGCAUUCCAGAUCUUCUUUAGGGAUGUGUCUGGACAUGCAACUUCACAAUGCACAAAAAUAUGGUUCACAGAUUCACAAGCUUUCUCACACAAGUAGCAUCUGCUGCACAUUAUCCAACCCCUUCUCUUCAAUUUUUCUAGCGUUAGACAUGCUUCAUGACACACUAGCCAACCAAAGAAGGUGACUUUUCUUGGGACUGUAAUUCUCAUGUCAUCUGAGGAUUGUUCAAAAACAUGCGGAACUGAAAGAAGAUAACAAUAACAGAAGAAUCAGAGUGCUAGCUUCAGUAUACUCAGGACUCAUAUGUUUUUAAUUUUCUGCUAGUUUGUCAGGUUACUGGAUACCAAUGUCCCGAAGGUGGUGUUAUUGCUGUGCUGCAGUCUUAUAUCGAUGAAGAUGUAAGAAGCUGCAAAUUCUCAGUUGUUGCAUUUUGUAGUUAAGACAUAUGUCAUCUCGAAUGCUUAAGAAGCUUUUGGCCUUUCGAUGUACGUUGUAGAUCAGAAAGACGAAUCCUUUUACACUGUAAGUUUGGCCUGCAAUAUUGAUGGUAGUCCACUCAUAGUGGCUAGAGGAAUAAAUGGAAUUCUCCAUGUUAUUGAUGCUGGCAAUGAGAAGAUACACAAGGAUAGUACAUGAAAUAUUUGACGCGCACUUUACAUGGUAAACCAAAGUAACUGCUCUUUUAGUUAUAAAUAAUGAAUACCUGCAAAUGAGUUUGUAACAUUCGUCUAAUUUAUCUUUAUCUGAAGACUAAUGUAUUUCCUUUCUCACUUGAUUCUACCCAUCUUAUCAUCGUGAUAUGAACAAGUAUAAGUUUUCCUUAAGUUUUCCUUCAUGUUUCAUUCCAUGUUAAGUUAUAAGUUUGAAAGAUGGUCACCGAAAUGAAGUACUCAGUGUGGACUUCUAUCCUUCUGGUAUAUAUCGGAUUGCUAGCUGCGGAAUAUUGUUAAGAUCUGGUCAAUGAAAGAUUUGGUGACUUGUCACCUAUAUAACUUGAACCUGACACGACUACCUGGACUUGUUGAACUAAUGACUUGCAAGCAAUUAUCAGUUGAUAUUUCUAUGAGGAUAUCUCUGUCUUCGGGCACAAAUGUAAAAAUGAUGUCAAUAAUUUCAAAGAACUAAUUGCAGUUUUAAAUGCACCAACUACCUAGAAGGAAAGCAGGGGAGAUCUGGGACAGCAUAGUGGAAAACACUGAGAAAAAGUUAACUAGGUGGAAGACCCAAUAUCUAUCCAUAGGUAGUUGACUCACCCGAAGUAAUUCUGUUCUUGAUUCUCUCCCCACAUAUGUGAUGUCCCUUUUCCUUUACCUUCCAAUGUGAUCAAAAGACUGGACAAACUUAGGAGAAAUUCUGUGACAGGGAUGUAAAGAUGGAAAGGGCUAUAACUUGGUGAAAUGGAAAGAGUCUUACUCCGCAAGAAGAGGGGUGGCUUGGGAAUCAGGAUCUUGAGUUUGCAGAUAAAUGCCUAAUGAUGACAUGGUUAUGGAGAUACAAUGGCGAGGAAACUGCUCUAUGGAAGGAAGUAAUAAAGGCCAAGUUUGGUGAAACAAAUCCAAGGUGCACAACGUAGUCAGUCAUAGAAACUUAUGGAGUUGGAGUAUGGAGAGACAUUAGGGCCUUUGGCUAAUGCUGGAGGCAAAUCUCAAACUAAAGGUAGAAGAUGGUAGCAAGAUCCAGUUCUGGAAAGAAGCUUGGAUUGACCAAACCCCUCUUGUGGAUUCUUUCCAGAUUUAUGCAACAUCUGCAACAACCCUGAAGCUGAAGUGAGUGAAUGCUGGUCAACUCAACGGUGGGAUCUGCUUUUGAUAAAUAUCUUGCCAAGGCUACUGCUUUUGAUUGUUUAAAGAUAGCUUAAAAUUCACAAAUAGUCUUGUCAUUUUUUCACUUUGUAACGAAUAGUCACCAUCAUAGAAUUUCUAACUUUAUAGUAAUAAAUUACAGGAUUAUCACUUGCAAAAA
Lycium barbarum (goji berry) is the source of this 2835-nucleotide long non-coding RNA. RefSeq lists it as uncharacterized. Lineage: Eukaryota; Viridiplantae; Streptophyta; Magnoliopsida; Solanales; Solanaceae. The record is from RefSeq and is a predicted model, not a curated record. The transcript is spliced from 3 exons.